Molecule: unclassified non-coding RNA, 300 nt
Organism: Pongo abelii (Sumatran orangutan)
Lineage: Eukaryota; Metazoa; Chordata; Mammalia; Primates; Hominidae
Rfam family: Metazoan signal recognition particle RNA
About the family: The signal recognition particle (SRP) is a universally conserved ribonucleoprotein. It is involved in the co-translational targeting of proteins to membranes. The eukaryotic SRP consists of a 300-nucleotide 7S RNA and six proteins: SRPs 72, 68, 54, 19, 14, and 9.
Source: Ensembl
ACUGGGCAUGGUGGCGUAUGCCUGUAGUCCCAGCUGUUCAGGAGGCUGACAGGGGAGGAUCGCUUGAGCUCAGGAGUUCUAGGCUGUAGCGUGCUAUGCCAGUCGGGUGUCCACACUAAGUUCAGCAUCAAUAUAGUGACCUCCUGGGGGUGGGGGACCACCAGAUUGCCUAGAAAAGGGUGAAUUGGCCCAGAUUGGAAUCAGAGCAGGUCAAAACUCCUAUGCUGAUCAAUAGUGGGGUCGUUCUUGGGCAUAGCCACUGCAUGCCAGCCUGGGCAACAUAGUGAGGGCCCGUCUCUU